AUACGAAGGGUGCAAGCGUUGUUCGGAUUUACUGGGCGUAAAGCGUCCGUAGGUGGUUUGUUAAGUCAGGGGUGAAAUCCCAGGGCCCAACCCUGGAACUGCCUUUGAUACUGGCAAGCUGGAGCGCGAUAGAGGAAGAUGGCAUAUCUGGUGUAGGGGUGAAAUCCGUAGAUAUCAGAUAGAACACCAAUGGCGAAGGCAGUCUUCUGGAUCGUCGCUGACACUGAGGGACGAAAGCGUGGGUAGCAAACAGAAUUAGAUACUCUGGUAGUCCACGCCCUAAACGAUGCAUGCUUGUUGUUGGUUUCCUUCGGGGGAUCAGUGACGGAGUUAACACGUUAAGCAUGCCGCCUGGGGACUACGAUCGCAAGAUUAAAACUUAAAGGAAUUGGCGGGG
RNAcentral lists this ribosomal RNA (397 nucleotides) under uncultured bacterium. Its description in RNAcentral is "partial 16S ribosomal RNA". It matches the Rfam family "Bacterial small subunit ribosomal RNA", at positions 523 to 918 of the family's 1533-position model. The record is from RNAcentral.